RNAcentral lists this ribosomal RNA (1394 nucleotides) under uncultured bacterium. Its description in RNAcentral is "16S ribosomal RNA". It matches the Rfam family "Bacterial small subunit ribosomal RNA". The record is from RNAcentral.
UUCGCCCUUAGAGUUUGAUCCUGGCUCAGGACGAACGCUGGCGGCGUGCUUAACACAUGCAAGUCGAACGAGAAUCUGUGGAUCGAGGAUUCGUCCAAGUGAAGCAGAGGACAGUGGCGGACGGGUGAGUAACGCGUGAGGAACCUGCCUUUCAGAGGGGGACAACAGUUGGAAACGACUGCUAAUACCGCAUGAUACAUUUGGGUGGCAUCAUCUGAAUGUCAAAGAUUUAUCGCUGAAAGAUGGCCUCGCGUCUGAUUAGCUAGUUGGUGAGGUAACGGCCCACCAAGGCGACGAUCAGUAGCCGGACUGAGAGGUUGACCGGCCACAUUGGGACUGAGAUACGGCCCAGACUCCUACGGGAGGCAGCAGUGGGGAAUAUUGGGCAAUGGGCGCAAGCCUGACCCAGCAACGCCGCGUGAAGGAAGAAGGCUUUCGGGUUGUAAACUUCUUUUAAGAGGGAAGAGCAGAAGACUGUACCUCUAGAAUAAGCCACGGCUAACUACGUGCCAGCAGCCGCGGUAAUACGUAGGUGGCAAGCGUUGUCCGGAUUUACUGGGUGUAAAGGGCGUGCAGCCGGGAAUGCAAGUCAGAUGUGAAAUCCAUGGGCUUAACCCAUGAACUGCAUUUGAAACUGUAUUUCUUGAGUACUGGAGAGGCAAUCGGAAUUCCUAGUGUAGCGGUGAAAUGCGUAGAUAUUAGGAGGAACACCAGUGGCGAAGGCGGAUUGCUGGACAGCAACUGACGGUGAGGCGCGAAAGUGUGGGGAGCAAACAGGAUUAGAUACCCUGGUAGUCCACACUGUAAACGAUGAAUACUAGGUGUGCGGGGACUGACCCCUUCAGUGCCGCAGUUAACACAAUAAGUAAUCCACCUGGGGAGUACGACCGCAAGGUUGAAACUCAAAGGAAUUGACGGGGGCCCGCACAAGCAGUGGAGUAUGUGGUUUAAUUCGAAGCAACGCGAAGAACCUUACCAGGUCUUGACAUCCGAUGCAUAUCACAGAGAUGUGUGAAGUCCUUCGGGACAUCGAGACAGGUGGUGCAUGGUUGUCGUCAGCUCGUGUCGUGAGAUGUUGGGUUAAGUCCCGCAACGAGCGCAACCCUUAUUGCCAGUUACUACGAAAGAGGACUCUGGCGAGACUGCCGUUGACAAAACGGAGGAAGGUGGGGAUGACGUCAAAUCAUCAUGCCCUUUAUGACCUGGGCUACACACGUACUACAAUGGCGUUUAACAAAGAGAAGCAAGACCGCGAGGUGGAGCAAAACUCAAAAACAACGUCUCAGUUCAGAUUGCAGGCUGCAACUCGCCUGCAUGAAGUCGGAAUUGCUAGUAAUCGCGGAUCAGCAUGCCGCGGUGAAUACGAUGCCGGGCCUUGCACACACCGCCGGUCA